AAGGAUUAAAAUAGCAGGAAAUGGCUCUAGUUUUUCGUAUAAUCAUGGAAGAUUUUUUAGCUUUUAAGUAGCUUGUAACAGUCAUGCAAUAUAGUAUAGGAGUUAGCUAAUACAAUGAACAUGAAUUCAACAGUAGGUCCACAGAUAACUACAACUAUAUAAAGUUCUUAUUAGAGCAAAGAAUAUCAGAAAGCUACAAAGUAGACUCUUUA
This 212-nucleotide long non-coding RNA is filed under the name Nicotiana benthamiana. RNAcentral describes it as "long non-coding RNA (NBEN_LNC000412)". The record is from RNAcentral. Lineage: Eukaryota; Viridiplantae; Streptophyta; Magnoliopsida; Solanales; Solanaceae.